GACCAGACUCCUACGGGAGGCAGCAGUGGGGAAUAUUGGGCAAUGGGCGCAAGCCUGACCCAGCAACGCCGCGUGAAGGAAGAAGGCUUUCGGGUUGUAAACUUCUUUUCUGAGGGACGAAGAAAGUGACGGUACCUCAGGAAUAAGCCACGGCUAACUACGUGCCAGCAGCCGCGGUAAUACGUAGGUGGCAAGCGUUAUCCGGAUUUAUUGGGUGUAAAGGGCGUGUAGGCGGGAAAGCAAGUCAGAUGUGAAAACUCAGGGCUCAACCCUGAGCCUGCAUUUGAAACUGUUUCCCUUGAGUGUCGGAGAGGUAAUCGGAAUUCCUUGUGUAGCGGUGAAAUGCGUAGAUAUAAGGAAGAACACCAGUGGCGAAGGCGGAUUACUGGACGAUAACUGACGCUGAGACACGAAAGCGUGGGGAGCAAACAGGAUUAGAUACCCCCGUAAG
This 451-nucleotide ribosomal RNA is filed under the name uncultured bacterium. Its description in RNAcentral is "bacterial SSU rRNA". It matches the Rfam family "Bacterial small subunit ribosomal RNA", at positions 329 to 793 of the family's 1533-position model. The record is from RNAcentral.